AGAGUUUGAUCCUGGCUCAGGACGAACGCUGGCGGCGUGCUUAACACAUGCAAGUCGAGCGGUAAGGCCCUUCGGGGUACACGAGCGGCGAACGGGUGAGUAACACGUGGGUGACCUGCCCUCAGCUCUGGGAUAAGCCUGGGAAACUGGGUCUAAUACCGGAUAUGACCUUUCCCUGCAUGGGGUUUGGUGGAAAGAUUUUCGGCUGGGGAUGGGCCCGCGGCCUAUCAGCUUGUUGGUGGGGUGAUGGCCUACCAAGGCGACGACGGGUAGCCGGCCUGAGAGGGCGACCGGCCACACUGGGACUGAGACACGGCCCAGACUCCUACGGGAGGCAGCAGUGGGGAAUAUUGCGCAAUGGGCGGAAGCCUGACGCAGCGACGCCGCGUGGGGGAUGACGGCCUUCGGGUUGUAAACCUCUUUCGACCUUGACGAAGGCCUUCGGGUUGACGGUAGGGGUAGAAGAAGCACCGGCCAACUACGUGCCAGCAGCCGCGGUAAUACGUAGGGUGCGAGCGUUGUCCGGAAUUAUUGGGCGUAAAGAGCUCGUAGGCGGUCUGUCGCGUCGGUCGUGAAAACUUGGGGCUUAACCCUGAGCUUGCGGUCGAUACGGGCAUGACUGGAGUUCGGCAGGGGAGACUGGAAUUCCUGGUGUAGCGGUGAAAUGCGCAGAUAUCAGGAGGAACACCGGUGGCGAAGGCGGGUCUCUGGGCCGAUACUGACGCUGAGGAGCGAAAGCGUGGGGAGCGAACAGGAUUAGAUACCCUGGUAGUCCACGCCGUAAACGGUGGGCGCUAGGUGUGGGGGCCAUUCCACGG
Molecule: ribosomal RNA, 818 nt
Filed under: uncultured bacterium
Lineage: Bacteria
Description: bacterial SSU rRNA
Rfam family: Bacterial small subunit ribosomal RNA
Source: RNAcentral